This 30-nucleotide non-coding RNA is filed under the name Mus musculus (house mouse). The record is from RNAcentral. Lineage: Eukaryota; Metazoa; Chordata; Mammalia; Rodentia; Muridae.
UAAAUCAGCAAGUUGAUGAAUAAAGGUUGC